This 306-nucleotide ribosomal RNA is filed under the name uncultured bacterium. RNAcentral describes it as "bacterial SSU rRNA". It matches the Rfam family "Bacterial small subunit ribosomal RNA", at positions 332 to 655 of the family's 1533-position model. The record is from RNAcentral.
CAGACUCCUACGGGAGGCAGCAGUGGGGAAUAUUGGACAAUGGGCGAAAGCCUGAUCCAGCCAUGCCGCGUGAGUGAUGAAGGCCUUAGGGUUGUAAAGCUCUUUCAGCGGGGAAGAUAAUGACGGUACCGGCAGAAUAAGCCCCGGCUAACUUCGUGCCAGCAGCCGCGGUAAUACGAAGGGGGCUAGCGUUGUUCGGAAUUACUGGGCGUAAAGCGCGCGUAGGCGGCUUUGUAAGUCAGGGGUGAAAUCCCGGAGCUCAACUCCAGAACUGCCUUUGAUACUGCAUCUCUUGAGUCCGGGAGA